RNAcentral lists this ribosomal RNA (240 nucleotides) under uncultured bacterium. Its description in RNAcentral is "partial 16S ribosomal RNA". It matches the Rfam family "Bacterial small subunit ribosomal RNA", at positions 28 to 224 of the family's 1533-position model. The record is from RNAcentral.
GACGAACGCUGGCGGCAUGCCUAAUACAUGCAAGUCGAACGAGCUUCCGUUGAAUGACGUGCUUGCACUGAUUUUAACAAUGAAGCGAGUGGCGAACUGGUGAGUAACACGUGGGAAAUCUGCCCAGAAGCAGGGGAUAACACUUGGAAACAGGUGCUAAUACCGUAUAACAACAAAUACCGCCAUGGAGUUUUGUUUUUGGUAAAGGUAGGGCGUUCGGUCGUAUUCACCUUACCUUGG